RNAcentral lists this ribosomal RNA (397 nucleotides) under uncultured microorganism. RNAcentral's name for it is "bacterial SSU rRNA". It matches the Rfam family "Bacterial small subunit ribosomal RNA", at positions 9 to 399 of the family's 1533-position model. The record is from RNAcentral.
GAGUUUGAUCGUGGCUCAGAUUGAACGCUGGCGGCAUGCCUUACACAUGCAAGUCGAACGGCAGCAUGAUCUAGCUUGCUAGAUUGAUGGCGAGUGGCGAACGGGUGAGUAAUACAUCGGAACGUGCCCUGUAGUGGGGGAGUAACUAGUCGAAAGAUUAGCUAAUACCGCAUACGACCUGAGGGUGAAAGUGGGGGACCGGCAAGGCCUCAUGCUAUAGGAGCGGCCGAUGUCUGAUUAGCUAGUUGGUGGGGUAAAGGGCCCACCAAGGCGACGAUCAGUAGCUGGUCUGAGAGGACGAUCAGCCACACUGGGACUGAGACACGGCCCAGACUCCUACGGGAGGCAGCAGUGGGGAAUUUUGGACAAUGGGCGAAAGCCUGAUCCAGCAAUGCCG